GAUUAACGCUGGCGGCGUGCAUAACACAUGCAAGUCGAACGAUGAAACUUAAAUGAUUUCUUCGGAAUGAACUUAAGUGGAUUAGUGGCGGACGGGUGAGUAACGCGUGAGUAACCUGCCUUACACAAGGGGAUAGCCGUUGGAAACGACGAAUAAUACCCUAUGAAACUAUCACUUCGCAUGAAGCGAUAGUCAAAGUGUUAGCGGUGUAAGAUGGACUUGCGUCUGAUUAGCUAGUUGGUGAGAAAAAAGCCCACCAAGGCAACGAUCAGUAGCCGGCUUGAGAGAGUGGACGGCCACAUUGGGACUGAGACACGGCCCAGAAUCCUACGGGAGGCAGCAGUGGGGAAUUUUGCACAAUGGGGGAAACCCUGAUGCAGCGACGCCGCGUGAUUUAGAAGGCCUUCGGGUUGUAAAAAUAUUUUGUAUAGGAAGAAAAUGACAGUACUAUACGAAUAAGGUCCGGCUAAUUACGUG
This 477-nucleotide ribosomal RNA is filed under the name uncultured bacterium. RNAcentral describes it as "partial 16S ribosomal RNA". It matches the Rfam family "Bacterial small subunit ribosomal RNA", at positions 28 to 507 of the family's 1533-position model. The record is from RNAcentral.